This 253-nucleotide ribosomal RNA is filed under the name uncultured bacterium. RNAcentral's name for it is "partial 16S ribosomal RNA". It matches the Rfam family "Bacterial small subunit ribosomal RNA", at positions 524 to 776 of the family's 1533-position model. The record is from RNAcentral.
GACGAACCGUGCGAACGUUGUUCGGAAUCACUGGGCUUAAAGGGCGCGUAGGCGGGUUCCCAAGUCCGGGGUGAAAUCUUUCGGCUCAACCGGAAAAUAGCCUUGGAUACUGGGAGUCUCGAGGGAGGUAGGGGCAGCGGGAACUUCCGGUGGAGCGGUGAAAUGCGUGGAUAUCGGAAGGAACGCCGGUGGCGAAAGCGCGCUGCUGGACCUCUGCUGACGCUGAGGCGCGAAAGCCAGGGGAGCAAACGGG